UACGGAGGGGGCUAGCGUUGUUCGGAAUCACUGGGCGUAAAGGGCGCGUAGGCGGCCGAUCAAGUCGGGGGUGAAAGCCUGUGGCUCAACCACAGAAUUGCCUUCGAUACUGUUUGUCUUGAGACCGGAAGAGGUUAGUGGAACUGCGAGUGUAGAGGUGAAAUUCGUAGAUAUUCGCAAGAACACCAGUGGCGAAGGCGGCUGACUGGUCCGGUUCUGACGCUGAGGCGCGAAAGCGUGGGGAGCAAACAGG
This 253-nucleotide ribosomal RNA is filed under the name uncultured bacterium. RNAcentral describes it as "partial 16S ribosomal RNA". It matches the Rfam family "Bacterial small subunit ribosomal RNA", at positions 524 to 776 of the family's 1533-position model. The record is from RNAcentral.